Molecule: ribosomal RNA, 915 nt
Filed under: uncultured fungus
Lineage: Eukaryota; Fungi
Description: eukaryotic LSU rRNA
Rfam family: Eukaryotic small subunit ribosomal RNA (bases 1-241)
Source: RNAcentral
UUGCUCUUCAACGAGGAAUACCUAGUAAGCGUGAGUCAUCAGCUCGCGUUGAUUACGUCCCUGCCCUUUGUACACACCGCCCGUCGCUACUACCGAUUGAAUGGCUUAGUGAGGUCUCCGGAUUUGCGGUGGGGAGCCGGCAACGGCUCUCUGUUGCGGAGAAGCUGAUCAAACUUGGUCAUUUAGAGGAAGUAAAAGUCGUAACAAGGUUUCCGUAGGUGAACCUGCGGAAGGAUCAUUAACGAAUAUCUAUGGCGUUGGUUGUAGCUGGCUCUUAGGAGCAUUUGUGCACGCCCGUCAUUUAUAUCAUCUUUCCACCUGUGAACUAUGUGUAGUCUGGAUACCUCUCGCUUUGGUGACAAGGCGGAUGCAAGGAUUGCUGCGUCGAAAGGCCAGCUCUCUUUGAAUUUCCAGGUCUAUGUUUUUUUACACACUCCAUUUGAAUGAUGUCGAAUGUAAUCAAUGGGCUUUCAAGCCUAUAAAAAACUAUACAACUUUCAGCAACGGAUCUCUUGGCUCUCGCAUCGAUGAAGAACGCAGCGAAAUGCGAUAAGUAAUGUGAAUUGCAGAAUUCAGUGAAUCAUCGAAUCUUUGAACGCACCUUGCGCUCCUUGGUAUUCCGAGGAGCAUGCCUGUUUGAGUGUCAUUAAAUUCUCAACCUCACCAGUUUUGUAACGAGACAGGUGAAGGCUUGGAUGUGGGGGUUUUGCAGGCUGCCUCAGUGCUGGUCUGCUCCCCUGAAAUGCAUUAGCGAGCUUAUACCGAGCUUCGAUCUAUUGGUGUGAUAAUUAUCUACGCCGUGGAUUUGGACUUGUGCUUGCUGCUAACCGUCCGCAAGGACAAUUCACUUGACCAAUUUGACCUCAAAUCAGGUAGGACUACCCGCUGAACUUAAGCAUAUCAAUAAGCGGAGGA